UAUGCGAUUCGUGAUUGUCUAAGAGUGCCUUCCUCUUUGCCCUAUUGGCUUGAGCCUUAGAGAUCUGCACCUUAACAUCCCUCUUAACACUCAAAUCUUUUAAUACCCCAUUUAUGUCUUAAUAUCUUCAAUAUAGAGUUUAAACAACCAUCUAGAGUUUCCAAGGAGAUUAUAAAAAUAUCUCCACAUUUAUAUGUGGGUUCAAACC
Molecule: long non-coding RNA, 208 nt
Filed under: Elaeis guineensis (African oil palm)
Lineage: Eukaryota; Viridiplantae; Streptophyta; Magnoliopsida; Arecales; Arecaceae
Description: long non-coding RNA (EGUI_LNC038792)
Source: RNAcentral